RNAcentral lists this ribosomal RNA (253 nucleotides) under uncultured bacterium. Its description in RNAcentral is "partial 16S ribosomal RNA". It matches the Rfam family "Bacterial small subunit ribosomal RNA", at positions 524 to 776 of the family's 1533-position model. The record is from RNAcentral.
GACAGAGGGUGCAAACGUUGUUCGGAAUUACUGGGCGUAAAGCGCGUGUAGGCGGUUCGUAAAGUCGGAUGUGAAAGCCCUGGGCUUAACCCAGGAAGUGCAUUCGAAACUCACGAACUUGAGUCCCGGAGAGGAAGGCGGAAUUCUCGGUGUAGCAGUGAAAUGCGUAGAUAUCGAGAGGAACACUAAGGGCGAAGGCAAGACUCUGGACAAGUGCUGACGCUCAUGCACGAAGGCUAGGAUAGCGAACGGG